CGCGUAGGCGGCACUGUUAGUCAGGCGUGAAAGUCCUGGGCUCAACCUGGGAACUGCGCUUGAUACGGCAGAGCUAGAGGAUGGAAGAGGGUCGCGGAAUUCCCAGUGUAGAGGUGAAAUUCGUAGAUAUUGGGAAGAACACCGGUGGCGAAGGCGGCGACCUGGUCCAUUACUGACGCUGAGGCGCGACAGCGUGGGGAGCAAACAGGAUUAGAUACCCUGGUAGUCCACGCCGUAAACGAUGUGCGCUGGAUGUUGGGUGGCCUAGCCACUCAGUGUCGUAGCUAACGCGGUAAGCGCACCGCCUGGGGAGUACGGCCGCAAGGUUGAA
This 331-nucleotide ribosomal RNA is filed under the name uncultured Paracraurococcus sp. RNAcentral's name for it is "bacterial SSU rRNA". It matches the Rfam family "Bacterial small subunit ribosomal RNA", at positions 568 to 898 of the family's 1533-position model. Lineage: Bacteria; Pseudomonadati; Pseudomonadota; Alphaproteobacteria; Acetobacterales; Roseomonadaceae. The record is from RNAcentral.